This 684-nucleotide long non-coding RNA is filed under the name Physcomitrium patens. RNAcentral's name for it is "long non-coding RNA (PPAT_LNC011594)". The record is from RNAcentral. Lineage: Eukaryota; Viridiplantae; Streptophyta; Bryopsida; Funariales; Funariaceae.
UUGAUUUAGGAUUUGGUUUAGAAUCUAAGAUUUAAUCUAGGGUUUGAUUUAGGAUUUAGGAUUUGUCUAAGAUUUGAUUUAGGAUUUGAUUUAAGGUUUGGUUUAGGAUCCAAGAUUUCAUGUAAGAUUUGAUUUAGAAUUUAGGAUUUGUCUAAGGUUUGAUUUAGGGAUUGAUUUAGGAUUUAUAGUUUGUCUAAGGUUUGAUUUAGGGAUUGAUUUAGGAUCUAAGAUUUGAUCUAAGGCUUGGUUUAAGAUUUAGGAUUUUUUCAGGGUUUAAUUUAAUAUUUAGUUCAGGAUUUAAAUUUUGAUUUAGAAUUUAGAAUUUGUCUAGGAUUUGAUUUAGGAUUUGGUUUAGGAUCUAGGGUUUGAUCUAGGAUUUGAUCUAGGAUUUGAUUUAGGAUUUAGGGUUUGUUUAAGGUUUGUUUUAGGAUUUGGUUUAGGAUUCAAGAUUUGUCUAAGAUUUGAUUAAGGAUUUGGUUUAGGAUUUGAGAUUUGAUCUUAGAGUUGAUUUAGGGUUUAGAAUUUGUUUAGAAUUUGAUUGAAGUCUAUUAGGAUUUUAACUAGGAUUAAAUUAAAACUUGAUAGAAAUUUUUUUAAAUAUAUUUGUGAUUAUUUUAAUAUUUUUUAGGACUUCUUAAGGAUUCUUUUAAGAUUUAUUGUGGAUUUUCUUUCAAUUACUUUAAG